UUUUAAUAUUCAUCCUAACAAGCAUUUCUAUAGAGUGAGUGCUUCUCUCAUCCGUACAAAGGCAUUCCAAAGGGAUAUUAUGUAAAACUUCAUAGAAGACAGAUUGCAUAAAAUAUAAGCAAAUGUAAGAGAAGUACAUGUUACACAAAUUAAGGGUUUAACCUUAAUCUCUAAUUUAAGUUUUAGCCUAGGUAAUUAAUUAAUGAUGUAUUGAUCCUUGUGUUUGUAUGAUUGUAGAGACCGUCCUGGAGUGUUUGUGCCGCCUGAUUUCUGGGACUACACAUCAAUCUCUCCGGCUGACCAUGCAAUAAGUAUUUUGCAAUUACAUCUGUUUGGUCAUUAUCCAUGCAGGCCGAAGAAACUGAGAUACUUAUGAGGACAUAAACUUUGCACGCAAGAACCUGGAAAGUCCUGAAGGUGCAGUGCUGUCUAAUACCGCUGGUUCUGUAAUAACCCUUUCAACCAUUG
RNAcentral lists this long non-coding RNA (468 nucleotides) under Pelobates cultripes (western spadefoot toad). The record is from RNAcentral. Lineage: Eukaryota; Metazoa; Chordata; Amphibia; Anura; Pelobatidae.